RNAcentral lists this ribosomal RNA (365 nucleotides) under uncultured bacterium. RNAcentral's name for it is "bacterial SSU rRNA". It matches the Rfam family "Bacterial small subunit ribosomal RNA", at positions 29 to 417 of the family's 1533-position model. The record is from RNAcentral.
AGCGAACGCUGGCGGCAGGCUUAACACAUGCAAGUCGAGCGGGCGUAGCAAUACGUCAGCGGCAGACGGGUGAGUAACGCGUGGGAACGUACCUUUUGAUUCGGAACAACACAGGGAAACUUGUGCUAAUACCGGAUAAGCCCUUACGGGGAAAGGAUUAUCGCCGAAGAUCGGCCCGCGUCUGAUUAGCUAGUUGGUGAGGUAAUGGCUCACCAAGGCGACGAUCAGUAGCUGGUCUGAGAGGAUGAUCAGCCACAUUGGGACUGAGACACGGCCCAAACUACCUACGGGAGGCAGCAGUGGGGAAGUAUUGGACAAUGGGCGGCAAGCCUGAUCCAGCCAUGCCGCGUGAGUGAUGAAGGCCC